This 543-nucleotide ribosomal RNA is filed under the name Diplodia mutila. RNAcentral describes it as "eukaryotic LSU rRNA". The stretch from base 183 to 336 matches the Rfam family "5.8S ribosomal RNA". The record is from RNAcentral. Lineage: Eukaryota; Fungi; Ascomycota; Dothideomycetes; Botryosphaeriales; Botryosphaeriaceae.
UCAUUACCGAGUUCUCGGGCUUCGGCCCGAAUCUCCCACCCUUUGUGAACAUACCUCUGUUGCUUUGGCGGCUCUUGCCGCGUGGAGGCCCUCAAAAGCCCCCCCGCGCGCGCUUCCGCCAGAGGACCAUCAAACUCCAGUCAGUGAACGUCGACGUCUGAAAAAACAAGUUAAUAAACUAAAACUUUCAACAACGGAUCUCUUGGUUCUGGCAUCGAUGAAGAACGCAGCGAAAUGCGAUAAGUAAUGUGAAUUGCAGAAUUCAGUGAAUCAUCGAAUCUUUGAACGCACAUUGCGCCCCUUGGCAUUCCGAGGGGCAUGCCUGUUCGAGCGUCAUUACAACCCUCAAGCUCUGCUUGGUAUUGGGCGCCGUCCUCUCUGCGGACGCGCCUCAAAGACCUCGGCGGCGGCUGUUCAGCCCUCAAGCGUAGUAGAAUACACCUCGCUUUGGAGCGGUUGGCGUCGCCCGCCGGACGAACCUUCUGAACUUUUCUCAAGGUUGACCUCGGAUCAGGUAGGGAUACCCGCUGAACUUAAGCAUAU